Molecule: ribosomal RNA, 549 nt
Filed under: uncultured Glomeromycotina
Lineage: Eukaryota; Fungi; Glomeromycota
Description: SSU rRNA
Rfam family: Eukaryotic small subunit ribosomal RNA
Source: RNAcentral
UUGGAGGGCAAGUCUGGUGCCAGCAGCCGCGGUAAUUCCAGCUCCAAUAGCGUAUAUUAAAGUUGUUGCAGUUAAAAAGCUCGUAGUUGAACUUCGGGAUCAAUUGAUUGGUCAUGCCAUUGGUAUGUACUGGUCAUAUUGGUUCUCACCUUCUAAGGAACCAUAAUGCCAUUGAUUUGAUGUUUUGGGGAAUUAGGACUGUUACCUUGAAAAAAUUAGAGUGUUUAAAGCAGGCUAACGCUUGAAUACAUUAGCAUGGAAUAAUGAAAUAGGACAUCGCAUUCUAUUUUGUUGGUUUCUAGGAUCGAUGUAAUGAUUAAUAGGGAUAGUUGGGGGCAUUAGUAUUCAAUCGUCAGAGGUGAAAUUCUUGGAUUUAUUGAAGACUAACUACUGCGAAAGCAUUUGCCAAGGAUGUUUUCAUUAAUCGAGAACGAAAGUUAGGGGAUCGAAGGCGAUCAGAUACCGUCGUAGUCUUAACCAUAAACUAUGCCGACUAGGGAUCGGAUGAUGUUGAUUUUUUAAUGACUCAUUCGGCGCCUUACGGGAAAC